CAGUCGCCGCGGGAAAACGUAGGUGGCAAGCGUUGUCCGGAAUUAUUGGGCGUAAAGCGCGCGCAGGCGGAUAGGUCAGUCUGUCUUAAAAGUUCGGGGCUUAACCCCGUGAUGGGAUGGAAACUGCCAAUCUAGAGUAUCGGAGAGGAAAGUGGAAUUCCUAGUGUAGCGGUGAAAUGCGUAGAUAUUAGGAAGAACACCAGUGGCGAAGGCGGCUUUCUGGACGAAAACUGACGCUGAGGCGCGAAAGCCAGGGGAGCGAACGGGAUUAGAUACCCCUGUAGUCCCUGUCUCUUAUACA
RNAcentral lists this ribosomal RNA (301 nucleotides) under uncultured bacterium. Its description in RNAcentral is "partial 16S ribosomal RNA". It matches the Rfam family "Bacterial small subunit ribosomal RNA", at positions 509 to 809 of the family's 1533-position model. The record is from RNAcentral.